AGUGAACGCUGGCGGUAGGCCUAACACAUGCAAGUCGAACGGCAGCACAGUAAGAGCUUGCUCUUACGGGUGGCGAGUGGCGGACGGGUGAGGAAUACAUCGGAAUCUACUUUUUCGUGGGGGAUAACGUAGGGAAACUUACGCUAAUACCGCAUACGACCUACGGGUGAAAGCAGGGGAUCUUCGGACCUUGCGCGAUUGAAUGAGCCGAUGUCGGAUUAGCUAGUUGGCGGGGUAGAGGCCCACCAAGGCGACGAUCCGUAGCUGGUCUGAGAGGAUGAUCAGCCACACUGGAACUGAGACACGGUCCAGACUCCUACGGGAGGCAGCAGUGGAGAAUAUUGGACAAUGGGCGCAAGCCUGAUCCAGCUAUACCGCGUGGGUGAAGAAGGCCUUCGGGUUGUAAAGCCCUUUUGUUGGGAAAGAAAAGCAGCAGGUUAAUACCCCGCUGUUCUGACGGUACCCAAAGAAUAAGCACCGGCUAACUUCGUG
RNAcentral lists this ribosomal RNA (492 nucleotides) under uncultured bacterium. Its description in RNAcentral is "partial 16S ribosomal RNA". It matches the Rfam family "Bacterial small subunit ribosomal RNA", at positions 29 to 507 of the family's 1533-position model. The record is from RNAcentral.